RNAcentral lists this ribosomal RNA (207 nucleotides) under uncultured bacterium. Its description in RNAcentral is "partial 16S ribosomal RNA". It matches the Rfam family "Bacterial small subunit ribosomal RNA", at positions 568 to 774 of the family's 1533-position model. The record is from RNAcentral.
CGCGUAGGUGGUUUGUUAUGUCAGAUGUGAAAGUCCACGGCUCAACCGUGGAAGUGCAUUUGAAACUGGCAGACUUGAGUACUGGAGGGGGUAGUGGAAUUCCCGGUGUAGAGGUGAAAUUCGUAGAUAUCGGGAGGAAUACCGGUGGCGAAGGCGACUGCCUGGCCAGAUACUGACACUGAGGUGCGAAAGCGUGGGGAGCAAACA